UCGUCACACUAUCAUUAACUGAAUCCAUAGGUUAAUGAGGCGAACCGGGGGAACUGAAACAUCUAAGUACCCCGAGGAAAAGAAAUCAACCGAGAUUCCCCCAGUAGCGGCGAGCGAACGGGGAGGAGCCCAGAGCCUGAAUCAGCAUGUGUGUUAGUGGAAGCGUCUGGAAAGGCGCGCGAUACAGGGUGACAGCCCCGUACACAAAAGCGCAUGUGCUGUGAGCUCGAUGAGUAGGGCGGGACACGUGGUAUCCUGUCUGAAUAUGGGGGGACCAUCCUCCAAGGCUAAAUACUCCUGACUGACCGAUAGUGAACCAGUACCGUGAGGGAAAGGCGAAAAGAACCCCGGCGAGGGGAGUGAAAAAGAACCUGAAACCGUGUACGUACAAGCAGUGGGAGCACAGGUUUACCUGUGUGACUGCGUACCUUUUGUAUAAUGGGUCAGCGACUUAUAUUCUGUAGCAAGGUUAACCGAAUAGGGGAGCCGGAGGGAAACCGAGUCUUAAUUGGGCGUUAAGUUGCAGGGUAUAGACCCGAAACCCGGUGAUCUAGCCAUGGGCAGGUUGAAGGUUGGGUAACACUAACUGGAGGACCGAACCGACUAAUGUUGAAAAAUUAGCGGAUGACCUGUGGCUGGGGGUGAAAGGCCAAUCAAACCGGGAGAUAGCUGGUUCUCCCCGAAAGCUAUUUAGGUAGCGCCUCGUGAAUUCAUCUCCGGGGGUAGAGCACUGUUUCGGCUAGGGGGCCAUCCCGGCUUACCAACCCGAUGCAAACUGCGAAUACCGGAGAAUGUUAUCACGGGAGACACACGGCGGGUGCUAACGUCCGUCGUGAAGAGGGAAACAACCCAGACCGCCAGCUAAGGUCCCAAAGUCAUGGUUAAGUGGGAAACGAUGUGGGAAGGCCCAGACAGCCAGGAUGUUGGCUUAGAAGCAGCCAUCAUUUAAAGAAAGCGUAAUAGCUCACUGGUCGAGUCGGCCUGCGCGGAAGAUGUAACGGGGCUAAACCAUGCACCGAAGCUGCGGCAGCGACACUGUGUGUUGUUGGGUAGGGGAGCGUUCUGUAAGCCUG
This 1073-nucleotide ribosomal RNA is filed under the name Salmonella enterica subsp. enterica serovar Infantis. RNAcentral's name for it is "partial 23S ribosomal RNA". It matches the Rfam family "Bacterial large subunit ribosomal RNA", at positions 140 to 1251 of the family's 2925-position model. RNAcentral also lists the same sequence under 2 other names. Lineage: Bacteria; Pseudomonadati; Pseudomonadota; Gammaproteobacteria; Enterobacterales; Enterobacteriaceae. The record is from RNAcentral.